CCUGUUCCUAGAGGCUUUGCAGGUGUGGCUGCUGUGUCACAUGUGCGUCAGUAGGUGGUAGAGAAGAGAGAAGCUGUGUCUACUCUCAGUGUUCUGAUCUGUAAACAUAUGAAUGAUUAGUAACCUAAUACU
Molecule: small nucleolar RNA, 132 nt
Organism: Grammomys surdaster
Lineage: Eukaryota; Metazoa; Chordata; Mammalia; Rodentia; Muridae
Product: small nucleolar RNA SNORA17
Exons: 1
Source: RefSeq, a predicted model, not a curated record